Rattus norvegicus (Norway rat) is the source of this 992-nucleotide long non-coding RNA. RefSeq annotates it as membrane-spanning 4-domains, subfamily A, member 6B-like 2. Lineage: Eukaryota; Metazoa; Chordata; Mammalia; Rodentia; Muridae. The record is from RefSeq and is a predicted model, not a curated record.
ACCACUACAAUGGGCACAGUACUUCACAAGAGCUGAGUCCAUUUUCUCUUCCUACCAAGGGAGCUCCAUCAUGAUUUCACAAUAGUCACCAAUGAGACCAUCAUGAUGACUUCACCAAAGAGAAUCAACUUUCCCCAAACAGACAAACCCCAACCUAUCCACCAGACAGCCUGAAGGAACAUCUAAAGGCAGAGAUCAAAGUGAUGGUGGUAAAACCCACUCAGAACAUUCUGGAGUGGGAAGAAGGCUGAGAGUGAGGUGUUAUGUACUGGGACAAGAGAUAAAUUUGAGGAUUCACCUAAUGGAGCUUUCUGGGGUAAAUGGAAAAGAAGUAAUUUUUGCUGCAAUCCAGAUCAUGUGUUCUGUGAUGGUGUUGGCUCUGGGAAUCAUUUUGGCAUCUGUUCCCUCCAUCCCACAUUUUACCUCAGUGUUUUCUGUCCUGUUAAAAUCUGGAUACCCAUUUGUAGGAGCUUUGUUUGUACCCCUCAUCAUCUACACUUCUGUCUCCUCUCGCCAAUAACUACUGAGGUCUCACUAUGAAAAAUCCAUGUGAUCUACAUUUCAAGAUGACUGAUUAUUCUGCUUGAUAUUCUUAGCAGCAUUGACAAAUAUAUCCCACAAGAAAACCAGGCAAGUUUCAAGAGGUCUCUAGCAUACUCACUCCAGAGAAAUCAGAAAAACUCUGCUUCCACCACAGUAUGGUAGUGAGGACAGCCAGGCCAAGCUCCAACACACUGCUGAUCAGCAUCAAUGAAAAGACUCCCUAAAUUCAAAAGAAGAGAGGUUGGUGUGACCGAGUCAGCUGAAGCCCUCAUACCUGGGUGGGAGGUGACUGUAGAGAUGAAACCAUCUCCACCAUCAGAGACGCCAUCAAGAAAGGAAUGGCUCUUCCCAAACCUACAAAUGGACUAAAAUUAAUGCCUACUUCCUUCAUUCUUUGGAGGAAGUAGAUAAAGAGGACAAACUAAAUAAACGAAACCAUUUUUCUGCCA